CUUACCAGGUCUUGACAUCCCUUGACAACUCCAGAGAUGGAGCGUUCCCUUCGGGGACAAGGAGACAGGUGGCGCAUGGUUGUCAGUCAGCUCGUGUCGUGAGAUGUUGGGUUAAGUCCCGCAACGAGCGCAACCCUUAUUACUAGUUGCCAGCAUUCAGAUGGGCACUCUAGUGAGACUGCCGGUGACAAACCGGAGGAAGGA
Molecule: ribosomal RNA, 204 nt
Filed under: uncultured bacterium
Lineage: Bacteria
Description: partial 16S ribosomal RNA
Rfam family: Bacterial small subunit ribosomal RNA
Source: RNAcentral